AACGAACGCUGGCGGCAGGCUUAACACAUGCAAGUCGAACGCCCCGCAAGGGGAGUGGCAGACGGGUGAGUAACGCGUGGGAAUCUACCUAGUUCUACGGAACAACAGUUGGAAACGACUGCUAAUACCGUAUACGCCCUACGGGGGAAAGAUUUAUCGGAAUUAGAUGAGCCCGCGUAAGGUUAGCUAGUUGGUGAGGU
This 200-nucleotide ribosomal RNA is filed under the name uncultured bacterium. RNAcentral describes it as "partial 16S ribosomal RNA". It matches the Rfam family "Bacterial small subunit ribosomal RNA", at positions 29 to 258 of the family's 1533-position model. The record is from RNAcentral.